UUGAAGGGAAAGCCCCAAAUAAUAGAGCAGCUGUAUGGGAAGAACCAUUGGAGAGAAAGAGAGAGAAAUGAAGAAUCCAAAUGCCCAGACAAGAAAAGAGACUACUGUUCACACUCCAUUGUCCUUGUGAUCUCUUACACUAAUCUCUCCAAAUACAAGAAAAGAAAAGAAAUCCCCUCAAAUCUCAUCCUAUUUUCCCAAACUCCAAGUUCAUGAUCUGAUCAAAAGUUCUUUUUUUUUUUUUCCAGAAGAAAUCAGAAAGAGGGGAUUUUUAGCUGAUAAAGAGUAGAGGAAGUUACUGAUUUGUGUUAAAAUGAGAGUGGACCAAGCAGAAAUGUCUGAAGACGAGGAUCGACCCCAAUCUCUAGAUCUGGGUAUUAACGCCGCCGCCGAAUCCGCUAACAAAACCCACAAUUACAGCGGCGGCGGCGGCGAGGUUGGUGGGUCUGGCUCGGUUGAGAACGUUCUCCAUAAUGUUCUUGAGAACGUGCUUCACUUCCUUACUUCUCGACGUGACCGGAACGCGGCUUCACUAGUUUGCAAGUCGUGGUAUCGCGUUGAAGCCCUAACUCGAUCCGAACUCUUCAUUGGAAAUUGCUAUGCGGUUUCUCCUCGUCGAGUUACGUCGCGGUUCAAUCGAGUUCGGUCAGUGUCGAUUAAAGGGAAGCCUCGGUUUGCUGAUUUCAACCUGAUGCCGCCCAAUUGGGGGGCUCACUUUUCCCCAUGGGUGGCGGCCAUGGCUAAGUCAUACCCUUGGCUCGAGAGAAUCUAUUUGAAGCGCAUGUCUGUGACUGACGACGAUCUGGCCUUGCUUGCUGACUCUUUUCCUGGCUUCAAGGAGCUUGUGUUAUUUUGCUGUGAAGGAUUUGGCACCAGUGGUAUUGCUGUUGUUGCUACCAGAUGCAAGCACCUUCGAGUACUUGAUCUGAUCGAAUCUGACAUACAAGAUGAUGAAGUGGAUUGGAUAUCUUGUUUCCCUGAGAAGGAAACUUGUCUCGAAUCUCUGAUCUUUGAUUGUGUUGAGUGCCCCAUUAAUUUUGAGGCACUGGAGAGGUUGGUGAGUAGAUCCCCAUCGUUGAAGAAACUUGGGGUGAAUCGUUACGUUUCCAUUGCGCAGUUAUAUCAUUUGAUGAUUCGGGCUCCUUAUUUAACACAUUUGGGAACUGGUUCGUUCAGUACUUCAGAGGCUGUGGUUCUUGGGGAGUUAGAGCCUGAUUAUGCCUCUGCUUUUGCUGCUUGCAAAUCCUUAGUUUGUCUCUCUGGAUUUAAGGACAUUUUGCCUGAUUACCUACCUUGUAUCUAUCCAGUUUGUGCUAAUCUCACUACUCUGAACUUGAGCUAUGCAAAUAUAACUCCUGAACAACUCAAACCGGUUAUAAGCCACUGCCACAAGCUCCAGACUUUCUGGGCUCUUGAUUCGAUUUGUGAUGAAGGACUUCAGGCUGUUGCUUCAACUUGCAAGGAAUUGCGAGAACUUAGGGUUUUUCCUGUUGAUGCCCGAGAAGAUGGUGAAGGCCCCAUUUCUGAAGUGGGCUUCCAAGCAAUAUCUGAGGGUUGCAGGAAAUUGCAAUAUAUUCUCUACUUUUGCCAGAGAAUGACCAAUGCAGCUGUGGUAGCUAUGUCACAGAACUGCCAAGAUCUUGUUGUGUUUAGACUCUGUAUUAUGGGACGACACCAGCCAGACCAUAAAACUGGAGAACCCAUGGAUGAAGGAUUUGGUGCCAUUGUUAUAAACUGUAAGAAGCUAACUAGGCUUGCGAUAUCUGGAUUAUUGACAGAUCGUGCUUUCAGCUAUAUCGGAAAGUAUGGGAAACUGGUACGCACCCUGUCAGUUGCUUUUGCUGGAAACAGUGAUUUGGGAUUGAAAUAUGUGCUCGAGGGCUGUCAUAAAUUGCAGAAACUUGAGAUUAGAGAUAGCCCUUUUGGGGAUGUAGCCUUACAAUCUGGCUUGCAUCAUUACUACAAUAUGAGAUUCCUCUGGAUGUCAGACUGUAAAUUAUCUCGCGAGGGCUGCCAAGAGGUUGCCAAAGCAAUGCCUCACUUGGUGGUUGAAGCGAUGAGGAAUGAUAUAGAGGAAGUGGAUGAGGUGAUGGGGAAUGAUAUAGAGGAUGUGGAUGAGGUGAUGGGGAAUGAUAUAGAGGAAGUGGAUGAGGUGAUGGGGAAUGAUAUAGAGGAAGUGGAUGAGGUGAUGGGGAAUGAUAUAGAGGAAGUGGAUAAUCAUCCUCAGUUGGAGGAUUUGGAAAACGAGGUACGGGUGUUAUACAUGUAUCGGUCUCUUGAAGGGCCAAGGGAUGAUGCUCCAGGAUUUGUAGACAUCCUAUAGAAUUUCAGGUUCCCUAUAACUUGGGCUGGUUGAGCAAGAUCAUACUGUUGUGUGGGAAGAUUUAUUAUUAAUUACUGCAGGAAUGUUCUUUACUACCCUAAAGAAGGUUCCUGUCUCCCCCAUGAAGAAAGUUGACCAUCUGUUUAUUAGUCAGGAAUACUGCAGCGGCAUUGAAGCCAAGUUUCUUGAAUGGAACAUACUUCUUCUGGGGUAUGGAGCUUCCUAUGUGAUCCAUCAAGCUAAACAUGUUGUCAUAUCGGCACGGUACCUUUCUAAUUGUUAAUGUUUCUCCAAGUCUGCAUUGGAUAACUUUAACAAGAGAGGUUCAGAUAGAGCAGGGGUUGUGGAUCUGCAUUAAAAGCUUUGAUAACAACUGAGGGUCUUGUUAUCCAUCGAAUCGAGAUAGAACUCUAAAACGUUGUUGGAUGGUUGAUCAACUAAGAGGUCCAAGAACAUUGUCCUUUCUCUAAGGUCAUCAAUAGCAAGGGGAUCGUUGCAGUUCCUUUGUAGGGUCAAUCGUUUGAUGAUUUGUCACAUCCCCUGAGUUUGCGUUUUAAAGCAGCCAUCCAUCAGUGGGCUCUAUCUAUCUCUCUCUCUCUCAUUAUUAAGAAAGAAACAACCUCUCCUUGGUAGCAAAGAGGUAAAAGCAAUGCUAUAAUCAAAGUGGGUUCCAUCUGUAACAUUGAAUGUGUGGGGAAAGCAAAGCUGAGGCUUUGCUUUCUUGUCUAACCUUAUGUUGUCUAAGCAAGUUGGCAACAGCCUAUGUUUUCCUUCUGCCACCACCUCCAUUCUUACCCUUUUUACUUGGGGGUGUUGAAAUAGUCUCAAUCUAAAAUAUAAAUGAGACUGUUAAAUUUUUUCUAUGUUUGUUGGAUUGGUUAAAAAAAAAUUUGGGUUGACACAACCCAAUCCAAAUUACAUAUAUAUUAUAAAAAAAUAUACAUUUAUCUUUAUUUAAA
Molecule: non-coding RNA, 3282 nt
Organism: Benincasa hispida (wax gourd)
Lineage: Eukaryota; Viridiplantae; Streptophyta; Magnoliopsida; Cucurbitales; Cucurbitaceae
Source: RefSeq, a predicted model, not a curated record